Molecule: ribosomal RNA, 468 nt
Filed under: uncultured bacterium
Lineage: Bacteria
Description: partial 16S ribosomal RNA
Rfam family: Bacterial small subunit ribosomal RNA
Source: RNAcentral
GACGAACGCUGGCGGCGUGCUUAACACAUGCAAGUCGAACGGAAAGGCCCUGCUUUUGUGGGGUGCUCGAGUGGCGAACGGGUGAGUAACACGUGAGUAUCCUGCCCUUGACUUUGGGAUAACUUCAGGAAACUGGGGCUAAUACCGGAUAGGAGCUCCUGCUGCAUGGUGGGGGUUGGAAAGUUUCGGCGGUUGGGGAUGGACUCGCGGCUUAUCCGCUUGUUGGGGGGGUAGUGGCUUACCAAGGCUUUGACGGGUAGCCGGCCUGAGAGGGUGACCGGCCACCAUGGGACUGAGAGACGGCCCAGACUGCUACGGGAGGCAGCAGGGGGGAAUAUUGCACAAUGGGCGGAAGCCUGAUGCAGCAACGCCGCGUGCGGGAUGACGGCCUUCUGGUUGUAAACCGCUUUCGCCUGUGACGAAGCGGGAGUGACGGUAAUGGGUAAAGAAGCACCGGCUAACUACGUG